UACAGCCAUAUCGGUUUGAAACGCCGGUUCUCGUUCCGAUCAACGAAGUUAAGCAUCGUUGAGACUGGUCAGUACAUAGAUGGGUGACCUUUUGGGAAUACCAAGUGCUGUAA
Acanthosepion pharaonis is the source of this 113-nucleotide non-coding RNA. The record is from the annotation of a GenBank genome assembly. Lineage: Eukaryota; Metazoa; Mollusca; Cephalopoda; Sepiida; Sepiidae.